CCAAAGACCGUAUUCUGCUUCACCUUACACCACAAAACCUCUCCUCCUCUCAUCAUCCUAUCUACUCCAUGGCCAUAUCCCUCUAGCAAAAACAGUGGCUGAGAUUACGGUGGGCCACUGUCAUCAACGUCCCAGAUGAUCAUGUAGAUGUGUCGGUCUCCAUGGCGCCUGCGGGAGAAAUCAAAGACAUGAUGAAGCUAACCCAGAAGACAUCUUCAAGGUGGCGUUCCCUUCGACGUACCAGAAGAUCCACCCCGGGGUGCUAUCCUAGUUGAGCAAUCACACAAAGCUCUUGGAAUCACUCUCCAUAACAAUUCGUGAGAAGCAUCUAGCAACGGCGAUGGAAAGGCCAUCCAACAGUGCCCUAGCUUCGGCCUUGGAAAAAGGGCUACCAGUGCUUUGCCUACCCAAAAAAAAAAAUGGUGGAUCGCUGGUAGCUGUCUGGUUUCCACAUCUAGAAUUUCGUAUUAGCUGUUGCGCAGUUGUUGAGGUGGAGCUGCUGCUUGUUUGAUGCGGUUCGUUGUCAGACUACAGUGCAAUGGCAAUUUUGUUGUCUGUUGGCCGGUGCGGUCUCUGUCGUGAGGGCGGCAUUGUCUGUGACUUGGAAUAGCAUCGUCUGUGCUUCGCUAUGGCCUUACUAUCUAUCUGAAUCCUCUUUUAUCAUGGAAAAAAGAAAGACUCAAAGAUCAGGAGCUCAGUUGGAUGUUGUUGGGACUGUUUCAAGGCCUGAAAAUUGGGCAAUGCUAGAUUCCCAAGCAACCAGCAAUGUCUUGGAAUUUUGUUUAGCGAGUACAAAACAGGUGAAGGGGCUGGGAUCAUUCUGUGUGUUGAGGAGUGGCUGUUGAACAAGUUUUUCACAUCCUCCCGCUUAGCUAAUGCCAUCAGUGAGAAGGGCUAGCUAUGCGAAGAAGGUACUCUCUAUAUAUGGUGGUUAUGUUUGUGGAGAUCCUGCAUUGUUUCUUUUGUCAUUCUACUGUUGGCCGCUGUAUAGGUUGAGUUUGCGGACGCAGAUCUUGCCGAUGCUCUAUUGGGUGCCCAAAGUGUUGUUGGUUUUUCAUGUUGCCUUAGCCCUUGAUGCAACAAGGGUCUUGAUGGGUGUGAAGAGGAGGUGGUAGCAGUUUUAUUGGAUUGGUGGAGAUUGAUGGAUUUGGCAGGCUGUUUUGUGACUUUGUUUGAAUGCUUCAGGGUUUAUUAUUGUGGAUUGUUUACGGGAUGGCAUGCUUAAGGCAAAGGUGCUGUGAGCUUGGGGUGCCUGAGGCUGGUUUGGUGUGGCUGAGAAAGGUUUUUUGGGCAUGGCCCUGUCCUUGUUUGUCCAUGUUGCGGCUUUGAAUUCUUGUCCUCUUUGGUUUUAUGCUGUAUAGUGGGUUUAUGAUAGGCAAAGGCUGUUUAUUAGUUUUUUGUGGCACCCACCUGAAUGAAUGUAUAACUAUUGUUGUUUUGAGUAACAAAUUUAUACAUGUGAGCUCCCACCCUUUAUCCAGAAAAAGAAAAAAAGGUCAACUAUCUAUGAAUGAUUUAGAAUCAAUCUCUUAGUUGGAAAAAUUCUCAUUAGAGAUUCACUUAAGAGUCUAUUAAAAAAAUGAAAGUGGUGCAGGAGUUGGUCAUUCUAAUAUUUUUUUUAAGUGUGAGUUUUUCUUAAAUAUCAUGAGAGAAUAAAUUUGAUAUUAAUAAAGUUCUCCCCCUUCUCUAUUCUAAUA
Long non-coding RNA from Magnolia sinica, 1697 nucleotides. RefSeq lists it as uncharacterized. Lineage: Eukaryota; Viridiplantae; Streptophyta; Magnoliopsida; Magnoliales; Magnoliaceae. The transcript has 2 exons. The record is from RefSeq and is a predicted model, not a curated record.